RNAcentral lists this ribosomal RNA (260 nucleotides) under uncultured Acidobacteriota bacterium. Its description in RNAcentral is "uncultured Acidobacteria bacterium partial 16S ribosomal RNA". It matches the Rfam family "Bacterial small subunit ribosomal RNA", at positions 195 to 457 of the family's 1533-position model. Lineage: Bacteria; Pseudomonadati; Acidobacteriota. The record is from RNAcentral.
GGGGCUCGCAAGGGCUCUCGCCACAGGAGGGGUCCGCGUCCGAUUAGCUAGUUGGUAGGGUAAUGGCCUACCAAGGCGACGAUCGGUAGCCGGCCUGAGAGGGUGAUCGGCCACACUGGAACUGAGACACGGUCCAGACUCCUACGGGAGGCAGCAGUGGGGAAUUUUGCGCAAUGGGCUAACGCCUGACGCAGCAACGCCGCGUGGAGGAUGAAGGUCUUUGGAUUGUAAACUCCUGUCGACCGGGAAAAAGCAACUCG